AUGAACAUUAGCCAUCACAAAAAAAAAAUUAGAUGAGUAUUUUUUUUUCCAAAACUCCGUAAUGAUACCUUCUCAAAUAAAUAAAUAAAAUCUACAAAGCAACCCAAGUACCCUUGAAUUGUUAUAUAAAUAUUUUUUAUAUAAAAAAAACAUCGGAAAAAAAGUCUAAAUAGCCCUCAUAUUACUUACAAGUAUUUUUGGAGUUAUAUAACUCGUUUGGAUAAGAAUAUAAAUAAAUAUAUUUUCUGAAAGAGAUGAGAUAAAGGGAAGAGCAGUUUGGACGCUUAUAAGUAAUGAGAGCAAAAAAUUAUAUUUUUGGGUGUACUUCAGGCACCGAUUAUGAAUUUUUAGCUCACUGAUCUAAAAAACAAUCGCUUAUAAUAUUUCAAAAAUUAACAUGCAAAUAAAAAAAAAAAAUCAAAGGUAAACAUAAAAUAAUAAUGACAAUGAAGAACAGAAACAUCAAGGGUAGGACCUUAAUGGAUAAGCACCAAACAUUGAUCACUCAUUCAUGUCUUCUCUCGGCUGUCAAGCCAUUGAAUGCCAAGUCAUGAAAAGCGGAACCAAAAUCCUGGUAACACUUAGAACCACAUCUCUAAUUCCUUGAACACUACGAAAGAUUCGGAGCCAACAAAAUCUACAUAGAUAUUUCCAUGCCUUUGGCUCUAGCCCGGCCAACUUGAAAAGCUAGAAAGACAAGCUCACUUCUCUAUAUAUAUAACUACAGAUUGAGAUUCUAGUUAAUCAGUAGUAAUUGUUAAUCAUAGAAGCAAUGGGAAGGAGUCUAGUUACACUUGUGCUAGUGUGUGUAUGUGCAGUAAUUAUAGGAGUAUUAGGCAGAGUGUUAUACUUGGUAUGGUUGAAGCCUAAGAUCCCCGGGAACAAGUACCGGCUGUUGACAGGGGAUAUGAACGAUGAGAAAGCUGCCUUCAGAGACGCUUGGUCUAAACUGAUGGAACUUACACACAAGAUAGCGCCUUGUGUGAUUCCCGACCAUCACCAUAUGGUUAAAAGAUAAGAUCAGGAAAAAAAAUUUAUUUAUCCAAUACUUUUUACAAAAGAAAGAAGUCCCAGCAGACCCGGAAAUGAAGGAAUAGUCAUCUUUGAUGAAGAAGAGAAAAAAUCUUUUUUUUUUGGAUACAUGAAUAGAAGAUUAAGAAGACUAAUUAGUCACCCAUAACUAUUUCUUCCUUUCAUUUAUCUCGUCGGUAAGUAUUUUCUUCCAUUCUAUAAUUCUAUUUGUAUCCUUAUUGUCCAUUAAUGAAUUCUAAAUGUCUAAGAGUGCUAGUUUAUUUACCUGGAGAAAUUCAUCAUUAUGUUCAGGCUAGAUAUGGUUCAAAUGGAAGGGAACAACCCUGGAAGCGAAUAUAUGGGAUCCAGACAUGAUGAGGGAAAUCCUGUUUAACAGGCCAGGUCACCUUAUCCAGCAAAAAUCGAACCCUCUGACAAAGCUCCUUGCAACGGGAAUCUCUUCUCUUGACGGAGAAGCAUGGGCACAGAGGAGGAAGUUGAUCAAUCACGCCUUUCAUUUGGACAAACUCAAGGAGAUGGUACCUGCUUUUCAAAUUAGUUGCAUUGGUUUAGAGGAAAGGUGGGAGAAGUUAGUGAGUACCAAAGGAUGUUAUGAACUGGAUAUCUGGCCUGAAUUUCAGAAUUUAACAGGAGAUGUGAUCUGGAGAUCAGCAUUUGGUAGCAGUUUCGAAGAAGGAAAACGGAUUUUCGAACUUCAAAAGGAACAAACUCUUCUUGUCAUUGAAGCCGCUCGAUCAAUAUAUCUUCCCGGCUUGAGAUUCCUGCCAACUGCAAAGAAUAAGAGAAGAACAUUAAUCGACAAACAAGUUAAAAGGAUAUUGAGAGAGAUCUCCACAAGAAGCUAGAUUCAAUGAAAAUGGGAGGAAGCGCUAAUGAUGACUUACUUGGCUUACUUUUGCAAUCCCAUAACCCGAACGCUACCUCCAACGAUAAAAACAAGAACAAUAGAAUUGCAAUUGAUGAUAUAAUAGAGGAAUGCAAGUUGUUCCACUUCGCAGGUCAAGAGACCACUUCGAUUUUGCUUACCUAGACAUUGGUUCUCUUAUCAAUGUACCCAAAUUGGCAGCAAAAAGCAAGGGAGGAAGUCCUUGAUGUCUAUGGGAAGAACAUACCUGACUUCGAAUCCAUCAGUCACCUUAAGAUUGUAAACAUGAUAUUACAUAAGUACUGAGAUUGUAUCUGCCUCUGGUCAUACUAUUUUGACGCAUAGACCAAAAAAUCAAAUUAGGAGAUAUA
Molecule: RNA transcript, 2268 nt
Organism: Dioscorea cayenensis subsp. rotundata (Guinea yam)
Lineage: Eukaryota; Viridiplantae; Streptophyta; Magnoliopsida; Dioscoreales; Dioscoreaceae
Gene name: cytochrome P450 CYP72A219-like
Exons: 5
Source: RefSeq, a predicted model, not a curated record